Molecule: ribosomal RNA, 466 nt
Filed under: uncultured bacterium
Lineage: Bacteria
Description: partial 16S ribosomal RNA
Rfam family: Bacterial small subunit ribosomal RNA
Source: RNAcentral
GCCUACGUGGUGCAGCAGUGGGGAAUAUUGGACAAUGGGCGAAAGCCUGAUCCAGCCAUGCCGCGUGUGUGAAGAAGGUCUUCGGAUUGUAAAGCACUUUAAGUUGGGAGGAAGGGUUGUAGAUUAAUACUCUGCAAUUUUGACGUUACCGACAGAAUAAGCACCGGCUAACUCUGUGCCAGCAUCCGCGGUAAUACAGAGGGUGCAAGCGUUAAUCGGAAUUACUGGGCGUAAAGCGCGCGUAGGUGGUUUGUUAAGUUGGAUGUGAAAGCCCCGGGCUCAACCUGGGAACUGCAUCCAAAACUGGCAAGCUAGAGGACAGUAGAGGGUGGUGGAAUUUCCUGUGUAGCGGUGAAAUGCGUAGAUAUAGGAAGGAACACCAGUGGCGAAGGCGACCACCUGGACUGAUACUGACACUGAGGUGCGAAAGCGUGGGGAGCAAACAGGAUUAGAUACCCGAGUAGUC